GACGAACGCUGGCGGCGUGCUUAACACAUGCAAGUCGAGCGGAAAGGCCCUUCGGGGUACUCGAGCGGCGAACGGGUGAGUAACACGUGAGUAACCUGCCCCAGACUUUGGGAUAACCCUCGGAAACGGGGGCUAAUACCGGAUACGACACAGCUUCGCAUGGGGUCUGUGUGGAAAGUUGUUCGGUUUGGGAUGGGCUCGCGGCCGAUCAGCUUGUUGGUGGGGUGAUGGCCUACCAAGGCGACGACGGGUAGCCGGCCUGAGAGGGCGACCGGCCACACUGGGACUGAGACACGGCCCAGACUCCUACGGGAGGCAGCAGUGGGGAAUAUUGCACAAUGGGCGGAAGCCUGAUGCAGCGACGCCGCGUGCGGGAUGACGGCCUUCGGGUUGUAAACCUCUUUCAGCAGGGACGAAGCGUAAGUGACGGUACCUGCAGAAGAAGCGCCGGCCAACUACGUG
RNAcentral lists this ribosomal RNA (462 nucleotides) under uncultured bacterium. RNAcentral's name for it is "partial 16S ribosomal RNA". It matches the Rfam family "Bacterial small subunit ribosomal RNA", at positions 28 to 507 of the family's 1533-position model. The record is from RNAcentral.